RNAcentral lists this ribosomal RNA (1480 nucleotides) under uncultured Bordetella sp. RNAcentral describes it as "partial 16S-23S ribosomal RNA intergenic spacer". It matches the Rfam family "Bacterial small subunit ribosomal RNA". The record is from RNAcentral. Lineage: Bacteria; Pseudomonadati; Pseudomonadota; Betaproteobacteria; Burkholderiales; Alcaligenaceae.
UUCAGUCUGGCCAGAUGGAGCACUUUGGCGGGAUGCUUUACACAUGCAAGUCGAACGGCAGCACAGACUUCGGUCUGGUGGCGAGUGGCGAACGGGUGAGUAAUGUCUCGGAACGUGCCUAGUAGCGGGGGAUAACUACGCGAAAGCGUAGCUAAUACCGCAUACGCCCUUCGAGGGAAAGCGGGGACCUUCGGGCCUCACGCCUAAUGGAAACGACCGCGAUAUCGGAUUAGCUAGUUGGUGGGGUAACGGCUCACCAAGGGCGACGAUCCGUAGCUGGUUUGAGAGGACGACCAGCACACUGGGACGAGACACAGCCGAACUCUACUGAGGAGGCAGCAGUGGGAAUUUGGACAAUGGGGGAAACCUGAUCCAGCCAUCCCGCGUGUGCGAUGAAGGCCUUCGGGUUGUAAAGCACUUUUGGCGGAAAGAAACGGCGGGAUAAUACCCCGUGCAACUGACGGUACCUGCAGAAUAAGCACCGGCUAACUACGUGCCAGCAGCCGCGGUAAUACGUAGAGAUUACGGCGUUAAUCGGAAUUACUGGGCGUAAAGCGUGCGCAGGCGGUUCGGAAGAAAAGAUGUAAGAUCCCAGAGCUUAACUUUGGAACUGCAUUUUUAACUGAGCUAGAGUGUGUCAGAGGAGGUGGAGAUUCUAACGAUAAUAGCAGUGAAAUGCGUAGAUAUGCGGAAGACACCGAUGGCGAAGGCAGCCUCCUGGGAUAACACUGACGCUCACAUGCACGAAAGCGUGGGGAGCAAACAGGAUUAGAUACCCUGGUAGUCCACGCCCUAAACGAUGUCAACUAGCUGUUGAACGCUUCGAGCGCUUAAGGUAGCGCAGCUAACGCGUGAAGUUGACCGCCUGGGGAGUACGGUCGCAAGAUUAAAACUCAAAGGAAUUGGCGAGACCCGCACAAGCGGUGGAUGAUGGAUUAAUUCAAAGUGCAACACGAAAAACCUUACCUACCCUUGACAUGUCUGGAAUCCCGAAAAGAGAUUUGGGAGUGCUCGCAAGAGAACCGGAACACAGGUGCACUGUAUGGCUGUCGUCAGCUCGUGUCGUGGAAUCGUGGAGUUGAAGUCCCUGUGAGCGCAACCCUUGUCAUUAGUUGCUACGAAGAGCCUCUAAUGAGACUGCCAGUGACAAACCGGAGGAAGGUGGGGAUGACGUCGAAUCCUCAUGGCCCUUAUGGGUAGGAGAAACUACACGUCAUACAAUGGUCGGGACAGAGGGUCGCCAACCCGCGAGGAGCCAAUCCGGCGAUUACGCUCGUCCGGAUCACCAGUCUGCAACUCGACUGCGUGAAGUCGGAAUCGCUAGUAAUCGCGGAUCAGCAUGUCGCACGGUGAAUACGUUCCCAGGUCUGCUUUUGCCGUCACACCAUGGGAGUGGGUUUACCAGAAGUAGUUAGCCUAACCGUAAGGAGGGCGAUUACACGGUAGGAUUCAUGACUGAGGUGAAGUCGUAUCAAGGUAG